UGUUCCCGCGGGCCCACAGUAUAGAGCAUGCGCAGUCGGAGCGACUCGGAGAAGCAGUCGCUAUUUUCCUCAGCUCCACAAAAGCAUGUUAGAAGAGGAUUUACAGACUGCAAACUCAAACCACAUAACAUACCAAGAUCUGUGUGCCAGUUUAUUUAUUAUUCAUUCAGCACUGGAUAUUAUUGGCCUUUCAAUGACAACCAGAAUUGGACACAGUCCUGCAGAAGAGGCCUUGCCAAUGGCCUGUAUGAUCUCAACAUGACGUCCCAACUUCUCUACACAACAGACUGAGCAAUGAAGGUUACGCCUCAACCUCCUAUCUUCCGGUGAAUGAAGUCCCAGCCUAUCCAGCCUAUUUUUACAACUCGAACCCUUCUUACCCAGUAAUAUCCUGCUUUUUUCUGAACCCACUCCGGUUUAAUAAUAUCCUUCCGAUGACGGGACUACCAGAAUGGCACACAGUAUUCCUUGAGAGUCCUCAUCAACAUCCUUUACAACCUCCAACAUGACGUCCUAACUCCCGUACUCAAAGACCUGAGCAAUGAAGACAAGUGUGCUGAAUGCCUUCUUAACCACUCUGUCCACCUGUGAAACAAAUUUCAAAGAAUAAUGUACCUGAAAGCCUAGGUUCUCUGUUCUGUAAUAGUACCCAGGGCCCUACUAUUAAUUGUAUAAGUCCUGCUCAUGUGAAGUAUUCCAUUUUGGAUAAAACAAACAUUUAUUCAAAUAAAGUUCAAUCUGCCACUCUUUAGCCCAUUGACCCAAUUGACUAAGAUCUCGGUCUAAUCCAGAAAGCCAAUAGGCUGUAUGCUUUAUUAUCACAGGAAUUAAACAUCAAUGUAAGGAUGUUCUGCUUCAUUUGUACAAGGAAGGGAAGAGACCAAAUCUCAAAUACCUCGUGCAGGUUUUGGUCGUCUGUACGCUUAUUCGAAGUGGUUCAGAGAAAGUUUACAAGAUUGAACCCUGGAAUAAGUGGGUUGUCUAAGGAGGAUAGGUUGGGCAGGCGAAAUGGAAUAGGAUUAGGCUAGAACUGCUGACUAAAACAGUAAAGUAAUAUGAUGUGAGCCAGGAUAUAGGGUGUGGUGAAGUAGAAUCUCUAUGGGUUGAGCUCAAACGUCAAUGGAGAGAAAGUGAUAUUAGUGUUGUAUAUAGACCCCAAGCUGCAGUAAUAUUGGGGAAGGCAUCAGAAUGGAAUUUAGAAC
Long non-coding RNA from Rhincodon typus (whale shark), 1202 nucleotides. RefSeq lists it as uncharacterized. NCBI's taxonomy places the organism in Eukaryota, Metazoa, Chordata, Chondrichthyes, Orectolobiformes, Rhincodontidae. The record is from RefSeq and is a predicted model, not a curated record. The transcript has 4 exons.